CCUACGGGAGGCAGCAGUAGGGAAUCUUCCACAAUGGGCGAAAGCCUGAUGGAGCAACGCCGCGUGGGUGAAGAAGGUCUUCGGAUCGUAAAACCCUGUUGUUAGAGAAGAAAGUGCGUGAGAGUAACAGUUCACGUUUCGACGGUAUCUGACCAGAAAGCGACGGCUAACUACGUGCCAGCAGCCGCGGUAAUACGUAGGUGGCAAGCGUUAUCCGGAUUUAUUGGGCGUAAAGGGAACGCAGGCGGUCUUUUAAGUCUGAUGUGAAAGCCUUCGGCUUAACCGGAGUAGUGCAUUGGAAACUGGGAGACUUGAGUGCAGAAGAGGAGAGUAGAAUUCCAGGUGUAGCGGUGAAAUGCGUAGAGAUAUGGAAGAACACCAGUGGCGAAAGCGGCUCUCUGGACUGUAACUGACGCUGAGGUUCGAAAGCGUGGGUAGCAAACAGGAUUAGAUACCCGAGUAGUC
This 465-nucleotide ribosomal RNA is filed under the name uncultured bacterium. RNAcentral describes it as "partial 16S ribosomal RNA". It matches the Rfam family "Bacterial small subunit ribosomal RNA", at positions 338 to 795 of the family's 1533-position model. The record is from RNAcentral.